CUAACCCCUUCACCCCAGUUUCGCCCCGCCUCUGGCCGAGCUCCGGUACAAACUCUGCCGCCGAGGGCUCGGCUUUCACAUUCCCGCCUCCGCCCUCCGUCUCCCUCCCAACCCUAAAGCACUUCCUGCAAACUGCCGGCUGCGCGGCUGCUUUCCUUUCCGUUGCGGACCAGAGAUUCCUUGAGAUUUGAAAAGACUCCAGAUGUGGCUCAGGCUGACCUUGAACUCAUGAUCCUACUGCAUCCUUCACUACAUCUGGCUCUAUUUUAUCUUCGGAGGUCGACUCUUUGGACAGAAGACAGAAGACAGCUUCUCCAUAAAUAAUUCAUUUUCUACAUUUACUACACAGCUGCUAAAAGCGAAUCGCCUGGCUUGUGUUACUUACCUUCUCUUUGUUCACCUGGCAUUUGCAGGUCCCCAAAGAGAUCAUUUGAUUGGAUUGAUUUGUCAUACUCAGUACUGAGUGCUGCCCUUGAAC
This 478-nucleotide long non-coding RNA is filed under the name Cricetulus griseus (Chinese hamster). RNAcentral describes it as "lncRNA (ENSCGRG00000025243.1)". The record is from RNAcentral. Lineage: Eukaryota; Metazoa; Chordata; Mammalia; Rodentia; Cricetidae.